ACUUAGCUGACGAGUUCAAAAUAGGACGAAGCACGCGCCCUGGAU
Molecule: non-coding RNA, 45 nt
Filed under: Schistosoma margrebowiei
Lineage: Eukaryota; Metazoa; Platyhelminthes; Trematoda; Strigeidida; Schistosomatidae
Source: RNAcentral